UAAAACGGCUUUAAUACAGCUGUAUAGACAAGCCAAUGACAGAGUCCAUUGAAAGUAAAACGAUCUAUAUUAUUGGCUUGCUUAUCGAGCUGUAUUAAAGCCUCUUUAUCAAGCUACGCUCCCUUCCUAUCGUAUUUUUCUUUCAGUUCAGUUAUAGUAACGGAAUCUAUCGAAUGUUAAAAAAAUGAAAUUUCUAUUUCUUUUUGGAUUUUCGCUGAUCAUUAACAUUUCAUACGCGUACCGCUAUUCUCCAGUACCAUGCGACACUCCUAAUUCAAGAUUCUUACAAUGCGCUACUCCGUGUACCAUCCCGUCAUGUCCAGAAGAUCAGAACAAAGAAAUAUGUAAAAAUAUACAUUACAGAUGUUCUAUUUUAGAAAGAUGUUACUGUAAUCAAGGCUAUAGAUCCACCGAGGAUGGAAAAUGUAUACCUUGUUAAAAAUCAAAGAUAUAAAUGUACUUGUAUAUUGUAACUUACACUUAUACUUUAUAUUAAAAUAUAUUAACCACUAGUAGUAAAGCUUAGCAUCAAAAUAAAGAAUACAGAGAAUAAAAUUGUCUAUUCCCAAUCGACUCCUAGGUUUGAUUUGGUUUAUUUGAUUACACCAAAACAACGCGUGGA
Centruroides sculpturatus (bark scorpion) is the source of this 622-nucleotide long non-coding RNA. RefSeq lists it as uncharacterized. The record is from RefSeq and is a predicted model, not a curated record. NCBI's taxonomy places the organism in Eukaryota, Metazoa, Arthropoda, Arachnida, Scorpiones, Buthidae. The transcript has 2 exons.